UUCUUUUUUUUUUUCCCCCUUCUCCCGCUGUUUCAUCUGAAACGGCGGUCGCAUAGCACACGGUUUCUCGGUGCGUUGGAAAAGCGUUUUUGGACGCUAGUAGUGUGCUCUGCUGCGCCCGUUGAGCAUGAGUUCGCCCCAGGUGGUGGAUUUGGAUUUGGAUUUGGAUAGGUGUAGAGUGGACCAAUUAUAGUACUGGGUCGCCGACAGGUGGAGUUGAGUAGUGAUCCUUCUUGCGUUUUUUGUGGCAGUGACAAGUAUCCUCCAUCUUUUUUCUACAAAUCUUAUUAUUAUUAUCAUUACUACUAUUUUUUGACUAAAUUUGGGAAAGAUUAAUAACUAGGGAUUACAGUCUUUUUCCGUUGUAGAGAUUAUAAUCUUUAGAUAAAUUCUAGUAAGAUUUUCUGAUACUAUAGUAUCUUAGUAUUUUAUUAAAGGUUUCUGGAUUUGAGUCUCAUAUUAAUUUUUUUUAAAAAAAAAAUCACUACUUGAUGGGAAACCAAGGGGCCAAAGGAAAAGCCCAAGUCUAAUAUCAA
Ananas comosus (pineapple) is the source of this 536-nucleotide long non-coding RNA. RefSeq lists it as uncharacterized. NCBI's taxonomy places the organism in Eukaryota, Viridiplantae, Streptophyta, Magnoliopsida, Poales, Bromeliaceae. The record is from RefSeq and is a predicted model, not a curated record. The transcript is spliced from 2 exons.